This 264-nucleotide unclassified non-coding RNA is filed under the name Magnolia kobus. Its description in RNAcentral is "sequence contains ITS1, 5.8S rRNA gene and ITS2". The stretch from base 83 to 238 matches the Rfam family "5.8S ribosomal RNA". Rfam says of the family: 5.8S ribosomal RNA (5.8S rRNA) is a component of the large subunit of the eukaryotic ribosome. The record is from RNAcentral. Lineage: Eukaryota; Viridiplantae; Streptophyta; Magnoliopsida; Magnoliales; Magnoliaceae.
AAGAGCACGUUGGCAGAUGCCGCCCCGUUCGCGGUGUGCGCGCGGACCGCCUCGUGACUCCUUUCUUGUGAAAAUUUAAAACGACUCUCGGCAACGGAUAUCUCGGCUCUCGCAUCGAUGAAGAACGUAGCGAAAUGCGAUACUUGGUGUGAAUUGCAGAAUCCCGUGAACCAUCGAGUCUUUGAACGCAAGUUGCGCCCCAAGCCAUUAGGCCGAGGGCACGCCUGCCUGGGUGUCACGCAUCGUCGCCCCCUCCACCCUUUA